This 500-nucleotide ribosomal RNA is filed under the name uncultured bacterium. RNAcentral's name for it is "partial 16S ribosomal RNA". It matches the Rfam family "Bacterial small subunit ribosomal RNA", at positions 30 to 523 of the family's 1533-position model. The record is from RNAcentral.
AUUGAACGCUGGCGGCAUGCCUUACACAUGCAAGUCGAACGGCAGCACGGGAGCAAUCCUGGUGGCGAGUGGCGAACGGGUGAGUAAAGUAUCGGAACGUGCCCAGUCGUGGGGGAUAACGUAGCGAAAGUUACGCUAAUACCGCAUACGAUCUAUGGAUGAAAGCGGGGGAUCGCAAGACCUCGCGCGAUUGGAGCGGCCGAUAUCAGAUGAGGUAGUUGGUGGGGGAAAGGCUCACCAAGCCGACGAUCUGUAGCUGGUCUGAGAGGACGACCAGCCACACUGGGACUGAGACACGGCCCAGACUCCUACGGGGGGCGGCAGUUGGGAAUUUUGGACAAUGGGCGAAAGCCUGAUCCAGCCAUGCCGCGUGCAGGAUGAAGGCCUUCGGGUUGUAAACUGCUUUUGUACGGAACGAAAAGGUUUGGCCUAAUAAGCUGAGCUCAUGACGGUACCGUAAGAAUAAGCACCGGCUAACUACGUGCCAGCAGCCGCCGUAA